Molecule: microRNA precursor, 88 nt
Filed under: Pelobates cultripes (western spadefoot toad)
Lineage: Eukaryota; Metazoa; Chordata; Amphibia; Anura; Pelobatidae
Source: RNAcentral
CUCCCAGACCCUCCCACCUCCUGGACAGCAUCCAUGUUGAAGCUGCCUUCAACAUGGAUGCUGUCCAGGAGGUGGGAGGGUCUGGGAG